RNAcentral lists this long non-coding RNA (594 nucleotides) under Homo sapiens (human). RNAcentral's name for it is "HSALNT0365837". Lineage: Eukaryota; Metazoa; Chordata; Mammalia; Primates; Hominidae. The record is from RNAcentral.
GUUCCCUGCAGCGUCUGUACUUUACUCCACCCAGGCUGCCUGAUAACAGAUGUGAUUUCCAGCUGUGUCUAUAUACCAACCAUACACACAGAUAAUGAAGCUGUUCACAAUGGCAUGAGAGUACAGAAGAGAAACUAGAGCCCAUGAAAAGGAUGCUUACCUGCCAGAGAACUCUGCAAGUCUGUGCUGUUGGAAGAAAGAGAGAAGUCUAUGGAAAGCCCUCUCUUAUACACAGAGCUGCAUUUUUCUUCUUAGGUGUGUGAAGUACAGAAGACGCUUAUCAAAGUAAUGCAUUGGACACAUCAAAAUUGACAAACGACUUACUUAACAAAAGAUAUUUGAAUGCAUCUGUUUCUACACUUGUGUGAUGCCAUUCCUUCUGCCCCACUCUUCACCUGAAUAAUUUCCAUGGGGGCUCAGCCAUGUUGAAGCAUGUAUGUCAAACUGAUGUAAGAGUUUGACAGAAAUGUAUUUGCAUGAAUUGCUGAAGAGCCUCCUGAGAGAAUACUCGUAUUAGGGUAGAAAGAAUACAGGUGCUGAAAUGAGCUCAACCCAUUAACACUAUUUAUUGAAAUAAAAAAGUGAUUCUGAGGA